This 70-nucleotide transfer RNA is filed under the name Mesembrinibis cayennensis. It matches the Rfam family "tRNA". From Rfam's summary of the family: Transfer RNA (tRNA) molecules are approximately 80 nucleotides in length. Their secondary structure includes four short double-helical elements and three loops (D, anti-codon, and T loops). The record is from Rfam by way of RNAcentral. Lineage: Eukaryota; Metazoa; Chordata; Aves; Pelecaniformes; Threskiornithidae.
CAGAGAAUAGUUUAAUGGAAAAUGCCAGCUUUGGGAGCUGGAGAUAGAGGUUUGAGUCCUCUUUCUUUGA